This 250-nucleotide long non-coding RNA is filed under the name Brassica napus (rape). RNAcentral's name for it is "long non-coding RNA (BNAP_LNC000379)". Lineage: Eukaryota; Viridiplantae; Streptophyta; Magnoliopsida; Brassicales; Brassicaceae. The record is from RNAcentral.
AUUUAGCCCUAAAACUUAUCAGAAUUAGAAUCGUUCAUAAAACAACAUAUUAUACAAAGUAUUUAAUAGUAGACAAAAGAACCACUUGACUUAUUAUCUGAUUUUGCUAUAUUUUAACCAAUUUAUUAUUCCCUCAAUAUAAAGAUCCUACAGAACAUUUAAAACAUUUUCAUUAAACAAACAAAAUACUACAUAAACAAAAUCAGUUCAAGAAGAUCAAACACAAUGCUAUUAAAAUAUUAUUUGAGGC